AAUAUCCACCUCAAGAAUCAUAUAGAGGGGAAUCUUAUCCCUUUUUGAGAUUCCGCAGGAUAUUUGGCAUUCAUCAUAUCGCCUUACCAAAUCACUAGCAUAAUUAAACAACGUCAGCAAAUAGAAACCAAAACUCAAGACCUUUGAAGCUGUUCUCACCCCUCCAUGAUGGCCACCAUAGGAGGAGUGACAAGCCUCCAAAAUGCCAAUUGUUCACCUUCCAGGACACAUCUUCUAACCACACCAUCCGUGCAAAUUUUAAACAAGUACGAAUAAUCCCAUUAAAAAUACAAACUAUCCCGCUUGAGUUUCUUCCUUUGGUUGGAAGAGAGCUCACACGGUACAAUUUCGGUCAGAAUGAAACUGGCGAUGCGCGCAAACCAUGGCAUGUCACACAUUGACACAGAAAGAAUUUGCUCGACGGGGGAUGUAUCAUUUAUUUUAAGGCCGUCACUGGUGUCCCUUCUUCCUCCAACUGAGACAAAUGAUCCAUAACUUGGUUCUCACUUCCUUUCCGGUACACUAUUUCUAAGUCAAAUUCUUGGAGCAGUAAUACCUGUCUCAUAAAUCUUGCCUUGGAAUCCUUUUUGGUCAUCAAAUACCUCAGGGCGACAUGGUCUGUGUGCACAAUCACCUUGGCCCCCAUAAGAUAUGGUCUAAAUUUCUCCGUGGCAAAUACAAUAGCCUACAAUUCCUUCUCCAUCACCAUGUAAUUGUGUUGAGCUUCAUUCAUAGUGUUGCUUGCAUAAUACACAUGAUAAUAUUUGCUAAUUUGUUGACCCAACACCGCUCCCACUGCAACGUCACUUGCAUCGCACACUAGUUAAAAGGGAAAAUUAAAAUUGGGUUCGGUGAUGAUAGGAGUUUUGGUCAACUUAUGCUUUAAAAUUUCAAAGGCCUCCAUGCAUUUUUCAUCAAAAGAAAACUUGGCAUCUUUCUCUAGCAACUUGCAAAGUGGAUUCACAACCUUCGAGAAAUCUUUGAUGAACCGCCGAUAGAACCCUGCAUGCCCAAGAAAACUCCUCAUCCCUUUUACAAAAGUAGGGGAGGUAGCCUAAAUCACCUCGAUUUUCGCCUUUUCUACCUCAAUCCCAUGCUUAGAAAUCUUGUGACCCAAUACUAUACCUUUUUCCGCCAUAAAUUGGCACAUUUCCCAAUUGAGAACAAGAUUAGUUUCUUCACAUCGGGCCAAGACUCUAUCCAAGUUUACCAUCGAAAUCACCUCGAUUUUUUACUUGUCUACCUCAAUCCCAUGAUUAGAAAUCUUGUGACCCAAUACUAUACCUUCUUCCACCUAAAAUGGAACUUUUCCUAAUUGAGAACAAGAUUAGUUUCUUCACAUCGGACCAAGACUCUAUCCAGGUUUACCAAGCACUCUAAAAAGGAGUCACCAACCACACUAAAGUCGUCCAUAAAGACCUCCAAUAUAUCUUCAACCAUGUCGGUGAAAAUGGCUAUCAUGCCACGUUGGAAGGUCGCCGGAGCAUUGCAUAGCCCAAAUGGCAUCUGGGAGAAGGCAAACAUACCAUAUGGGCAUGUGAAAGGGGUCCUCUCUUGGUCUUCUGGGGAAAUUAGGAUUUGAUUAUAGCCCGAAUACCCGUCCAAAAAACAAUAGAAAGCGCGUCCCGCAAGGUGAUCAACCAUUUGAUCCAGGAACGACAACAGGAAAUGAUCCUUCCGGGUCACCUUGUUGAGUCCGGUAUAGGUUCGAGUGGGAAUAAGCUCAUUGUUGGAAUUUAUCAUCACCGGCAUCCCUCCUUUCUUUGGCAUACAUUGGACCGGAGAGGUCCACGAGCUAUCGGAAAUUGGAUAAACCACACCAGCGUCAAGCCACUUGAUAACUCUUUCUUUUCAAAUUCUUGCAUUGCUUCAUUUAAUCUUCUUUGAUGUUCAAGUGAAGGCCUUGCAUCCUCCUCCAAGAUCGUUUUAUGCAUGCAAAAGGCGACUUAUCCCCCGAAUGUCCGCAAGAGUCCAACCUAUAGCCUUUUUUUGCCUUUAAAGCACCUCCAAAGUGGCCUUGACCUGCAAGUUAGUAAGGAACGAAGAAAGAAUAACUGGAAGAGUUUAAUUAGAGAUCAAAAAUUAUUACCUAAUAUGUAGAGGAAAUGGCUUCAACUCCAACACCGGUGGUUCCUCAAUCAAUGGCUUUGUUGGUGGCGUUUUGCGAUUUUCAAGAUCCAAAGAUAACUUCCUAGGCUCAUAUGAAUAUGAACCCAAACCCUAAAAUGCAUUAAUGCACUCCACUCUACUAGCAUCAUCAUCUACAUCUAUGUUAAGAAGCACGGCUUCAAGAGGAUCUUCAACAUUUACUAUGGAACUUGUGUCAUCCACUCUCACAUCUGUGACAAUGUCCACAAAUGAACACACCUCCAUACUAUUGGGUUGCCUCAUUGAUUUGCAAACAUGGAAUACCACUUUCUCAUCUCCUACUCGGAAUGUCAAUUCACCCGCUUCAAUAUCAACCAAGGUCUUUCUUGUAGCUAGGAAAGGUCUCCCAAGAAUAAUCAGAACUUAAAGUCUACCUCACAAUCCAAUAUGACAAAGUCGGCCGACAAUAUGAAUUUAUCAACACGGACAAGAACAUCUUCAACUAUGCCCAAGGGUCGGUGCAUUGAUCCGUCCGCCAUUUGAAGUCUCAUUGAGGUUGGCCUAGGUUGCCCAAUGUCUUGAAGACCGAAUAAGGCAGCAAAUUUAUUCUAUCCCCCAAAUCACAAAGGGCCUUGGCAAAAUCAGCACUACCUAUAGUGCAAGGGAUAGUAAAAGCUUCGGGGUCCUCAAGUUUCGGAGAUCAUCUUAAUUGUUUCGCACUCCAUUGACCUCUUCUUUGUUCAAAUCAUUCAUAAAUUUUGCAUACCUUCGCAUUUACUCAAGUGCCUCAACCAAAGGGACAUUGAUUGUGAGGCUCUUCUUCAUGUCAAUGAACUUUUUGAAUUGAUUGGCGUUCUUUUGCUUUGCUAACCAUUGAGGAUAAGGUUGAGGUGGUCUAGGCAAAGGUGCCUCUUUGGGCACCACUGGCUCGGAUAUAUCAAUCGCGUGUUCCUUGGAUAGGUUCACAUCAUCUUGUGUUUCCACCUCGGCCUCAUCAUCAAUAUCAAUCCGUACAUCAUUAUUCACAUUUCGUUCAACCACAUUUUCAUCAAUCAACGGAUCCACAUCUUGUUGGAUCCAAACGUUAUCAUCCACAACUUGAUUUUCUAUCGAGGCAUGCACAUCACCACCUCUUCCGCUUCUAGUUGUAACCGCCAUUACUUGGUUGUUGUUCCUUCCUUUCGAGUUCACUACCAUAUCACUUGGUAGGGCACCCUUGGGGCGGGUAUUCAAAGCUUGAGAAAUUUGACCCAGUUGCACUUCCAAGUUCUCGAUAGAUGUAUUAUGUGAAGACAAUUGUGCAUCGGAUACAUGGUUGUUGUUCCCACCCUUGGGUUCACUACUAUAUCCCUUGGUAGGGAACCCUUGGGGCGGGUAUUCAAAGCUUGAGAAAUUUGACCUAGUUGCACUUCCAAUUUCCGGAUAGAUGUGUUAUGUGAAGCCAAUUGUGCAUCUGAAUCUUGUCUCCUUUUCGUCAUUUGCUCAAACAUACUUUCAAUUUUCCCCUUAUCACUCCCGGAAUAACUUGGAUCUUGAGAAGGAAAAUGGGGUGGAUUGUUCGAUUGUUUGUACAUGGGGGGCGUUUGAAAACCUAUCCCCGAUAGCCUUGAGUUCCACUAUUAUUUCACCCUCCUUGAUUGUUGUUGCUUCAAUUAUUGUUGUCCCCGUUCCAAUUGCCUUGAUUGUUAGCGUGAUUACCCCAAUUACCUCCUUGGUUUUUAUUGUUCCAAUAACUACCACCUUGUUGAUUUUCCCAAUUGUUUCUUUGAUUGUUGUUGUUCCAAUUACCACCACCUUGUUAUUGGUUGUUACUAUUCCACUUUCUGCUGCCUUGUUAAUUACCCCAAUCACCUUGGGGACGCCAUUGUGAUUCCCUUGAUUUCCUCUAUUUCCCUGGUAGUUAUUUAUAUGUUGACAUUUCUUGCUUUGAUCAUCAUAACCCUCAUUCAAAUAACCACCACCAUCAUUGUUGUAUCAAAUUGCUCAUAAUUACCUUGAGGUUGUUGUUUCCCUAUUUGCUUUUUUCAACAUCGAGACACCUUCCAUUGCAUUGACUUGGCGCGGGUUUUGGACUUGCAGCAAUUGCACCUUCACCAAUUUAUUCAUAUUGUUGUAAGAUCGGAAAUAACUUGUGAAUGCUCGUGCAAUUUCUUGUGCAAAUGGAUGACAAUAGGUCACCUUGGGGCACAUUUGCUCGGGUUUGCCAUAACGAAGAGGUGUCGGCCAUUUCAUCAAGUACAUCAAUGUCUCUUGGUAUGAAAGUUUCAUAAAGUUCCCUCUGGGUUAUUGGUUCACAAUGCAUUGAUUCAUGGUGUUGAUGCCCCGAUAAAAGGUUUGUCGGAUCAUCGCCUUGGUCAUGUCAUUAUUAUGGAACUCCUUCACCAUUGUUCUAUAUCUCUCCCAGAUUUCAUGUAAAGGUUCCGUUUGCUCUUGCUUUAAGGAUAAUAUUUCAUCUCGAAGUGUCGCCAUAUAACUUGGUGAGAAAAACGUGCCAAUGAAUUUAUCCGCCAACUCAUCCCAAGUUGGGAUGGAAUGAUUGGAGAGCCUUUCUAGCCAAUUCAAUUCUUUACCCAAAAUAGAGAAUGGGAAAAGCCUCAAUCUCAAAGCAUCCCCGGACACGUUCGUCUGUUUGCUACCCCAGCAUGUAUCUACGAACCCCUUCAAGUGCUUGUAGGCAUUUUUAUUGGACGUGCCCGUGAAAUACCCUAUUGGCUCGAGUAAGGUCAACAUGAAAUUUGUGAUUUGAAAGUUCCCCGCCUGGAUUUGGGGAGGAACAAUAGCACUCCCAUACACUUGAUUUGGGAGAACUCUUGGGGCCACUCUUGGCGGUGGCGGAGAAGGGUCUUGGAUAGGAUUGUUGUCAUUUGCAUUGGACUGACGACCUCUACGUGGAGCUUGAGGUAAAUUAGGAACCUCUUCUUGAUCAAGAUCAUCUACUUCCUCCCCCGCCAUUACAUUACCAAUAGGGUGAUUUUCAUUAAGAGCCAUGUGUACCUAAGUGAUUGACACAAACAAAAUCAGUAAACAAGAAGGAAAUAGAAGCAAAACACAACACUAACUAAACAGAUAGUCAACACCGUAAGUUCCAUGGCAACGGUGCCAACAAGUGAUCGCUGCCAACCCAACUCUACAGAAAGGUAGGAAGAGCGGGUCGCAAUAGCUUUUACCCGAAUAAUGGUCGGGAUCAAAUUUCUACAGGGAGCUAGUAGUGAAGUUGUAUUUUCUGUCUAUCAUAGAGAUGUGUUUGUAUUUCUAAUGUCACUUUAAACAUUUUUGGGUUUUUGAUUUUAUAACUACUAUUAUUAAACUAAGGAUUAAAGCUAUUACGCUAAGAGAAUAUUGUGAAGUUGUAUCUAAUAGGGAUAAAGGCAUCACGGCUGUGGCAUUUCCUAGGUGGUUAAUUAACAGGUAGAAACUACUAAGGAUAGAUUGACAUGCUUGGGGUUUAUGCUAUAACCGUGGAAAAUUGUACCCACUCUAACACCUCUCGUUAGAGAGAGUGAUUUUGCCCAAUUGACUCUCUCGAGACCAAUUGGGUAGGUCUAUUAGACCAAACAAUUAGGGUUCAAGUAGGGUGAUUACUCUCACGAGAAUUAACCUAUUAAUUGGGACUAUCAUUUCUCAUGGGUCCAUCCCAAUUCCUUGUUGGGUCAAUUUUGGGGUNNNNNNNNNNNNNNNNNNNNNNNNNNNNNNNNNNNNNNNNNNNNNNNNNNNNNNNNNNNNNNNNNNNNNNNNNNNNNNNNNNNNNNNNNNNNNNNNNNNNNNNNNNNNNNNNNNNNNNNNNNNNNNNNNNNNNNNNNNNNNNNNNNNNNNNNNNNNNNNNNNNNNNNNNNNNNNNNNNNNNNNNNNNNNUUGUUGGGUCAAUUUUGGGGUCAUAGACUCUCUUUCUCAAAAAGUAUUAAACUCACUAAGCUUGAAUCAAUAUUUGCAACCACCAAUUCUCAUAUAAAAACAUAAAAUCAACCCAAAUAGCAAACACCCAAUAUAAAUCCAACCUUAGAUGGCAACACCAUCAAUUACCCACAAGGGUUGAUCUAUAACCUUAGAUAAUGGGUUUAGCUACAUAUAAUUAAAGAAAGAACAGAAGAAACAGAUGAAGAACUAAACAUAUUAUUUAAUUACUAAGAAGAAACUACAAUAAUCUAUUGUUAAUGAAUACCAAAAAUGCUAAAAAUGUCUACAAUGUCAUUCCCAGGUGCUCAGCUGCAUUCUGAAUACCCUCCUCCCUAAAAAAUGCUAAAAAGUUCUAUUUAUACUAGGCUGGAAAAAUUGGAAAAAAUACCCUGCGGGGUCAGUGCGGGCCGCACAAAAGCAACCGCGGCCGUACUGGCAUUUUUACUUGGCAAUUUUCACUCUCUGAAGUAGAGGACGCGGACCGCACAAUUGAGCAGUGCAACCGUGGAUGGGGCCUGGCGCGUACCGCGCGGUGACGAUCAUAGGCCGUAUGAUUUGACUAGGCUCUUUGACAACCUCUAUGAAUCUCAUUCAUGCGAACUGCACAAAUGAGUGAAGCGGUCGCGAAGCAUGAACAUGGACCGCGACCACGUUGUCUUUAGCCAGAUUAUGUCACGCAUCCGAACUUCCUAGUGCGACCGUGGUUGCUUUCACGCAGUCCGCAUUAGGUCCUAUUUUCUUCACUUUACUUUGUCUUUGAAACUUGAGCAGGUUUUACUCCAUUUUUGAGCUGAUAUUUGACAUUUUGUCACUUUGUCGAUUAGACCUGCAGUCAAACACAAUUAGUGAGCAUUUCGGGACUAUUUUGUAGCAAUUUAUACUCAAAGCAUAGGCAAGUAGGGGCAUAAUACAUUAAAAUCCUAACUUAUCAUAGGCCGAGUUGCUCCACGACACUAGAUCGGAUGCUAUUCGCCGAUCUACCUGGAUCCACUAAAACACACUUAACUUGAACUUUAUUUAAUAAGAUAGAAAUUACUAGAGAUUCGUUGCGUGGCUGAGAAACGCCUUCUUCUUCUUCGUCAUUGAAUGAUAAGGAGCCUUCGCGCACAUAAUCUCGGGUUCAUUUUUCCCUAGUGAUUGAUACCUUUGUGCAUUUUAAUAUGGUUACAUGUGGAAUGUCAACCCCGCUGGCAAUCAAAUGAAUGAUAUACUGGGGUUCAUCCUAUUAAAUUUUUAUGUUGGCGUCCCUUUCUCUGAAAUGAUUCUUGGGCUCGAUAACUAAGGAACACUCGAAGGGGGCCCUCAUUGAAUAGACGGGCUACCUCUUCCCUCAUUUGCUUGCAAUCCUCAUGGGUCUAGGCCACCUAGUAUUUUUUAUCCUUCCAAUUUUCGAUAUAAUGCCCAAUGCUUUGAUGCUAAAGUUAUAUUCUGAUAAACGAGGUGCCUCUAUGGGAUCAACAUGCUUAUCAAAACGACUUUUGCUGAUAAGUCCCCGAGAAUUCUGUCCUUAAUCACUUCUUCGAUCGUUCCAAGAGGAAUUGCAUCCAGAACUAUUGUUCCUUCAAUCUAUGGUAUAUGGUUGAUAUCGAUCUCUGUUCAACCUUGGCUCCUUGUCAACGUCCCUCGGGGUUUUAACUGCCGACUGAUAACUAGGGAUUCUAGUCUAUUUUAUGCUUUUUUUGCUUAAGAUUUGGACUAAAAGUGUGUACAAGUAUUUCCCAUAGCUAUUUUAUUGUGCUUGCUUGCAGUAGUCAAAAAGAGGCAAGAAAGUCAAAACCAGCUCAGAAAAUGAGUGAAACCUGCACAAGUAAAAGCUGAGCAACUGAGGUUGACAUCGGAAAAUCAACCGCAAACGCGGAGGAUCCACUGCAGAGGCGGUCUUGAUCUUAGUAUGGCUUCUAUUCCAUCUCAAUCUAUGAUUUCUUCCUUAAUUAUGAAUAGCUAAACCCAUUAGGUAGUGUUGUAGCUCAACCCUAAUGUGGGUAUUUAAUGGGACUUCUAUUUUAGGGCUUAAAUGUUUAUGGGUAAUUGAUAUUUGGUCUAAUUUAUACUUUAAAUGUUAAAUUGGUAGCUGCAAACACCGAUUUGUGCCUUUUUGACUUAGGCUCUUCUUAAGAAAGAGAGACCAAGUCUAGGAAAUUCAGGCCAAAAAGAAAUUGGGGUGAAUCCAAGAGAUUGAUAGCCCCAAUUAAAGGGUUAAACCUAGAGAUAGUGAUACCUGAAUUGAGCCAAUUUUGCUUGCAUUGUUUGAACACCCAAUUGGACUUGAGAAAGCCAAUUAGGGAAAAGUCACUCAAACAACCGAGAGGUAUAGAGUGAGUAGUUCCGUGCAGUGGCUAUAUCAUGUCCCAACUAUAACAAAUUUCUCUAAGUUUGAGAUCUCGUUAGAUACUCACCUAGGAGUAAGUCACAUUCCUAGUGCCUUUCUAUCAAUAAAUAAAACCGCAUAAAAAAUAUCAUACUUAGUUAAAUUUCCUGCAUCAUUAGUAUUAAAUUAGAGUAGCGAACAAACAAAGAAUGAUUGAAAGUUCAAUCAAGAAAACUGCACAUUGCUAGAUUAGAUAGGAAUCCAACUCCAAACAUAUCUUAGCUUCCUAUGGAUUGAUCUCGAACUAUUCGGGUAAAAGUUGCAACGACCGCUCUUGCUACUCUAUAGUGGUAUAAGGUUGGAGCCAAUCACUUUUCGGUGAGGAGCUGCGAGCGGCUGGAGAUUGCUGGUGGUCGGCGGGGUAGAGGGAGGCCUAAGNNNNNNNNNNNNNNNNNNNNNNNNNNNNNNNNNNNNNNNNNNNNNNNNNNNNNNNNNNNNNNNNNNNNNNNNNNNNNNNNNNNNNNNNNNNNNNNNNNNNNNNNNNNNNNNNNNNNNNNNNNNNNNNNNNNNNNNNNNNNNNNNNNNNNNNNNNNNNNNNNNNNNNNNNNNNNNNNNNNNNNNNNNNNNNNNNNNNNNNNNNNNNNNNNNNNNNNNNNNNNNNNNNNNNNNNNNNNNNNNNNNNNNNNNNNNNNNNNNNNNNNNNNNNNNNNNNNNNNNNNNNNNNNNNNNNNNNNNNNNNNNNNNNNNNNNNNNNNNNNNNNNNNNNNNNNNNNNNNNNNNNNNNNNNNNNNNNNNNNNNNNNNNNNNNNNNNNNNNNNNNNNNNNNNNNNNNNNNNNNNNNNNNNNNNNNNNNNNNNNNNNNNNNNNNNNNNNNNNNNNNNNNNNNNNNNNNNNNNNNNNNNNNNNNNNNNNNNNNNNNNNNNNNNNNNNNNNNNNNNNNNNNNNNNNNNNNNNNNNNNNNNNNNNNNNNNNNNNNNNNNNNNNNNNNNNNNNNNNNNNNNNNNNNNNNNNNNNNNNNNNNNNNNNNNNNNNNNNNNNNNNNNNNNNNNNNNNNNNNNNNNNNNNNNNNNNNNNNNNNNNNNNNNNNNNNNNNNNNNNNNNNNNNNNNNNNNNNNNNNNNNNNNNNNNNNNNNNNNNNNNNNNNNNNNNNNNNNNNNNNNNNNNNNNNNNNNNNNNNNNNNNNNNNNNNNNNNNNNNNNNNNNNNNNNNNNNNNNNNNNNNNNNNNNNNNNNNNNNNNNNNNNNNNNNNNNNNNNNNNNNNNNNNNNNNNNNNNNNNNNNNNNNNNNNNNNNNNNNNNNNNNNNNNNNNNGGUAGGGGUAAGACUGCCUACAUAUUACCCUCCCCAGACCCCACCUGGUGGGAGUAUACUGGGUAGUUGUUGUUGUUGUUGUUGUUGUUGUUGUAUUUACAUCACCACCUCGACCGCUUCUAGUAAUCAUCACCAUUGAAUGCCCAGUGUUGUUCCUACUCUUCAGGUUUACUACCGUAUCACUUGGUAGAGCCCUCUUAGGGUGAGUAUUCAAAGAUUGUGAAAUUUGGCCAAGAUAAAAAUCAAUAUCUUUGAUUGAAGUAUUGUGGGAUUCCAACUGGGCAUCAUGGUCGGCGUUCUUUUUCAUCAUUUGUUCAAACAUCAUCUCUAUCCUUCCAUCUCAUUGUUUGAUGAUAUAGGACCUUAGGAAAGAAAUGGAGGUGGAUUGUUUGGUUGUUGAAAUAUUGGAGGUCUUUGAAAGUCUAGCUCUCGAUUUCCUUGAUUGCCAUUAUUCCAAUCCCCUUAGUUGUUGUUUCCUCCCCAAUUAUUGUUGUUGCCAUUCCAGUUUCUUUGGUUGUUCUGAUUGCCCCAAUUCUUAUUGUUGUUCCUCCAAUUGCUAUUUCGUUGUUGGUUUUUAUUCCCCUAAUUUCCUUGGGAUAUUCAUUGUUGUUGUUGGUUAGGAUAAUUGACCUUUUAUCCUUGAUAACUGUUCAUGUAUUGCACUUCUUCAUUUUGCUCACCAUACUCAUCAUCUUGAUUGAAACCACCGCUACCCUACUUAUAUUGAUCCAGAUUACCUUGACCAUGUUGACCUCUUUGUCGCCUCUUUUUGACCAUCAUGUUGACACCUUCCGUAGCAUUUACUUGUGUUCGCACUUGAACAUGUAUCAGUUGAGCUUUUGCGAAUUGGUUCAUUGUUAUAGUUAACUCUACUAUUGCUUGGCCAUGGUCGUGGAGCUUUUUGUGGAAGUGAGUGAUAGUGGGGUCACUCUAUGGAAUAUUGGCUCGACUUUGGGAAGACGAGGGAGUAUCUUCCAUCUCAUCCAAUAUCUCAAACGUCUCAACAUAAGAUAUGUUCAUAAAACUUCCCCCUUCUAGCUGGUUCACCAUACACUGAUUUGUCGUGUUAAUGCCACGGUAAAAUUUAUGCUGGAUCGUUGCUUUGGUCAUGUCAUUAUUCAGACAUUCUUUCACCAUUGUCCGAUAUCUCUCCAAUAUCUCACAAAGUGGUUCAUUAGGUUCCUGUUUGAAAACCAAAAUCUCAUCAUUGAAAUUCUCUAUACGCCCUGGCAAAAAAAACUUGGCUAUAAACUUGUCCGCCAACUCAUCCCACACAGUGAUGGAUAGGUUGGGAUGCCUUUCAAGCUAGUCCAAGAUUUCCCCUUAAGUGAAAAAGGAAAUAAUCUCAAUCUCAAUGCAUCCUCUGACACAUUGGUCUGUUUGCUUCCCCUUAAGUGAGCUCUCUUCUGACCAAAGGAUGAAGUUUAAGCGAGAUAGCUUGGACUUCUAUUGGGAUGAGCCUUACUUUUUCAAAAUCUGUAAUGAUGGUGUCAUCCGGAGAUGUGUUCCGCAAGUGGAGAAAAUGAGUAUUCUAGAUACUUGUCAUUCCUCUCCCUACGCUGGUCAUCAUAGUGGGGAAAUGAUAACUUCAAAGGUAGUUGUGGUUUUUAUUGGCUUACAUUGUACACGGAUGCAAGUGAACUUUUGAAGAGAUGUGAGGAGUGUUAAAGAGCAUGUGGAAUUUCAAUAAUGGAUGAGAUGCCUCUCACCACUAUUCUUGAGGUUGACAUAUUUUAUGUGUGGGGUAUUGGCUUCAUGGGUUCGUUUGUAAGUCCUUGUGGCAACACACAUAUUCUCAUGGUCAUUGAUUAUGUUUCCUCCUGGGUUGAGGCUGUGACUUUACCUAACAAUAAGGCCGUGGGUGUUGUGGAUUUUCUCAAGAAGAGUAUCUUUACUCGGUUUGGCACUCCUAGAGAAAUUAUCAUUGAUUAUGCAAUAAGGCAUUUGACACUUUGCUUGAAAAGUAUGGUGUCAAUUACAAGGUUUCUACCCCUUAACAUCCAAAGCUAGUGGACAAGUUCAGGUCUCCAACAGGGAGAUCAAGAGCAUAUUGUCAAAGACGGUUAAUUAAAAUAGGACUAACUGGUCAGAGAAACUGGAUGAUACUUUGUGGGAAUACAUGACUGCUUAAAAGACUCCAAUUGGUAUGUCUCUGUAUCAGUUGGUCUUUGGGAAAGAUUUCCAUAUCCCGGGUGAGCUAGAGCACAUGACCAUUUGGGCUUUGGGGAAGUUAAACCUUGAAUGGGAUGUUGCAUCAAAUCUUCGGGUGGAGCACCUAAAUGAGCUUGAUGAGUUCCUGUUUCACACCUAUUCCAGCUUAUCCUUGUAUAAGGACAACAUGAAGUACUUAUAUGAACAAGUAUGCUCGUAGCAAGGAAUUCAAAUUGGAUGACUCAUUUCUUUUAUUCAACUCCCGGUUACGACUAUUUCCAGGAAAGCUUAAGUAAAAAUGGAGUGGACCUUUUGAGGUGGUGCUUGUGACUCCUUUUAUUGCUCUUUAUUUGAAAAAUAAAAAUGGUGAGAUCAUCAAAUUUAAUGGGCACAGAGUGAAGCAAUAUCUUGGCAAAUUUGAUGAUAGCCACGUGGUGGUAAUAUCUAUCUCAAGUGAUUGAUGGUAACCUGCAUCAUGCCGCGAUGUUAAAUCAGACACUUCUUGAGAGACAACCCAUGUGUUUUUCUUCUUUUCUGAUUUUCUUCUUAGUAUAGGUUUUUUUGAACUAACUGGUUGUGAGAUAUGUCUAGGAAGGUUUGUCGCAGUGCAUGGCUAAGCUGAAAAAUAUGGCAGUCUAUGAAGUUUCUACAGCGACUGCGGUGCCUUCUUCCCGGUCCGCGGUUCUCAAUCGCGGUCGCGGAGAAUUUUCCGCUCUCAGCGAUAGUCCCAGAAUAGCAACCCUUUAGUUCUACACCAGCAUGGACGCGCAGUGAUUUUCUGCAGCCGCGCUACUUAAGUUUAGUGGGCCCCUAGGCAUUUGCUAUAAAUAGACGGUCAUAAGGCCUUUUACCCUUUUUGCCCAUUUCACUCUCAAACUAAAUUCACCACCAUUGUUCCACGCCCUAAGAUGCACAAACACAAGACUUUGAGUCCAUUUUCAUCGCACAUUUCACAUCUAGUGAAUUCGUUUGCUCAUUAUUCUACAAUUUUGGACUUCUUUUUAAGUUUUUAUUUUAACUAUUAGUUUGGUUUUUACUUCUUGUUCCUCUUUUCUAUUAAUUUUGUCCUAGGGCUGUUUAUUGUUAAUUAGGUUAGGCUUAAAAUAGUUAUGAGUUGUUAGUGAAUACCUAGGGGGGCUAAAAAUGUAAAGAAGAUUGCUAAAUGCAUGAACAACUAAAUCCGUAGGUUUACUAACCCAUAUUCUGACUUUCAGAGCCGCGGUUGAUUUUUCGUAGUCCUUGGUCAUAAGUUUUCGAAGUAACGUAACAGGAUUCAAUGUUGUACCAUCUUCCAUUUUUCUCCAGAUUUACCCAGUGAGGGUGCACGUAUGAGUCAAGGUUGACACUUUCAAUGUGUGGAUCAUACCUUUGGCAUCCUAGUCGAAGAGGGAGUCGAUUCACGUACUUCACCAUUUCCUGGGUCAUUAUCGCCUUUCCCUUGGGCGCUAAUGGUAUUUUUUAUUUAGAAUCAACGGGACUCUAAGACCAUAUAUACUAAUUACUUUGGGUCUUAUCCCGAUGAGGUAAAAAAUCUUUUUAAAAGGCAUAUUGGCGAAAGAGGAUUGAGAACCAUAAGGCUUUCAUCAAAGGCCAUGAUCUCCAUUAUUCCUAUUAUUUUAUGUCUCUUUGAUUUUGAGGCAGUUUCAAGUUUAAGCCGAUCCUCGGGGUCAAAUAAAGUGCUUCCAUUAACCAGCAUAAACUAAAAGUGCUCUCCAAACUGUGUUGGAUAGUCACCCAUCACACGCAUAUCAAACAGUUGUUUUGGAGAUAUAGGUGACGGAGGAAGAGUACCGAGAGUUCUAUAUUCCCAGAGAUUUGAGAUAUUUAUUUUUCUAUUAUCCGGCAAACCUAAAAGCGGAUGCGAGAAAGAUGUCAAAAAUCUGCUUAGGGUCAAAAUGGACUUUAUCUUCUUGCCCUGCUAUCCGCCAAAUCAUAAACACAUCUUUAGUGGAAUUUUUAGUUCUUUGUAGUUAGUAUCACCCUGGAAAGCAUCUUAGGUUGUGUGUUUUUGAAAGGCUCGGUAUACCAUGAGAAGCCUACCCUCGAUAGCUCUGCCCCUCUUUUCUUAACCGGAGCUUUGCCCAUUUAGUCCGAACUUUGUUAAGAGGCAAUAAAAACUACUCACUAUCCAAAUCCUUUGCGACCGCUAUUGAUUUUCCGCGGACAUUGGUGCAAACACCGAGGCCGCACUCAUCUUACCGAACUUAGCAUUGCAAUAUAAUUAGAGGGUGGGUAUUAUGAUCCCCACACCUGCAGGGCUGCGAUGAAGUUUUCAUGGUAUGCAGUGUAUCCUUUGUAGCAGCGCUCCUUUUUCCGCGGUCUGUAAUUUUUUUCCAUGCACUAUAAAUUGUUCUAAUGUUUUUAUUUACUGCUUCUUCUUGCAACUAACAAUGUGCCACUGAUUAUGUUUGCAGACAGUUGUUAAAUCUAGAGCCGGCAGUAAGAAACAAAAGGGUAAAGCAUAUGCCUCUCGGGGUAAGGGACAAGGACAAAUAAAGAUGACCCUAGUAAUUCGGAAAUCAAUAGGAGAAAUGAGGAAGAACAUUAGAGUUUAAAAUAGAGUAGCUUCCCACUCCAAGGAGACUGAGUAUGUGCCCUCCCGGAGGCAUCAGAGACCGACUCACUGCUAGCCUAUGUACCAGACUUCUCGGAGAGAUGGAUUGAGAGAUGAGCCUACACCCCCAGCUUCUCCCAUUUCUCCUGCAUCUUCUGAAUCCUCUGAUGGCUCAGCAGAGAGUGGUAAGUCCUCAUCUUUAGCCUUAACUACAGCUUCGUCGCUAGCACAGGACCCCAUAGAUAUAGAUGCUGAGGUAUCGGAUGAUGAGAGAAAGGGUGCCACCACGACCGGAGGUGUAGAAAGAACAAGAAACCCAAAGGAUUGGCAAUAGAGAUUUGUCAGUGAGCUAGCAUACCAUAAAUUCAGGGAAUGGUGGCCUCAAAAAUCCCUAAUUCAUGAGCGUCAAUUUAUAAAGAGGGAUCUUCUGCCUUACAACCCUAAUAUGAAGUAGUACUUCAAUGAACGAGGAGUAUGGGAGUACUUAACUAGCAAGGUGCCGGAUGCAAAUGAGUGCCUAGUCAAGGAAUUCUAGGCCAAUGCCUCCCACAUCAAAAGUGGAGCAACAAUGACAAAUGUGUGGAACCCGAAGACCAAAUUUGAUGGGAAGACAAUCUAUGAUUACCUGGGUAUCAAUAAUAAAAAUGAGGCAAUAUAUUUAGAGAAGGUGGGAUGAGGCAGUCCGCCUGAGGCUGGCAUCACUUUUGGCCCUCCCGGACACUACUCCAACAUGGUUGACAGUAGGGGUUCCUACCUUAAGGAUCUCCCUAAACUUUGAUGCAAAGGGUUGAGAUACCUUUGCGUGCAGCAGACUAGACCGCACUACCCAAGAAAACACCAUGCCAAUUUCCUGGGCGAUUGUAGUGGCGGCUAGCAUGACGGGGUUCCCGAUCAAUGUCGGGAAUAUCAUGUCUAGGGCGAUAACCAGAGUGGUCAACGAUGGUAAUAGAUCUUAUCCCUUUCCGAACUUCCUCAUCAUGUACUUGGAAAAUCAGGAGGUGGAGAAAAGAAAGUUUGGUGUCAUGGUAAAGCCCAAGAAGGCUUCUCAUAGUACAGCCUACAGAGUGCAGACAACCUCAAAUCCAAUGGAUCCAAAGGCAAAGCUACUACUUCUACUAGCCAAUCUAAAGAGCCACUAGUGGUAGUCACUACUUCACAGCCUCCCACUGAUAUACCGAAUCCUGCCUCCGGACCAUCUACUUUCAUGACUUCUUCGGUGCCAUCCUCCUCAACAUACCCAUUGACGGCUCAUAGGUUAAGCCAAACCCUCUACAGCAUUCAGAAUUGGAUGCAUGUAGAAACGUCGAAGCUGUCUGUGCUAUCCAGUGGUAGCCCAGGAAGUUCCCAUGCAACUACAUAUGCCAACUUCAGUAAAUGAGUCUCUCAAAGAGCUUCAGGACAAGUAGAAGAAGCUCCAUGAGAACCAAAAUCUUAUUAUGGAUGCCAUUGCAGUUCAAGGAAACACACAUAAGGAUAUGAUCAAGCACACAAAGAAGCCGAAGAAGUCUCAAGCCUCAUAUGAGUCAGUGAAGCAAUUUCGGGGAGAGGUAGAGAAGAUGAAGUCAGCUGGUGAUUUGCCAUUGGAUCUACUAUUAUAGGACCAGCCUCCAGUAGCUCAGACUGAGUAACUUGAGGACCAAGAGACUCAAGGUGAGCCCAGGAGGAGGAGAGUGAUGCACCGGGUUGAUGAUGUUGAGAUCGAGCUGGAGGAGAUUGUGGAAGGUGACUCUUUCCAGCCACAGGCCCCCAAACCAGGUGAUCAAGGACCCAGCCACAGGACCCCAAGCAGCCAUAGGACCAGAUAAAGACAGAGGACCUAUAGAGAGUUUCCUUUACUCUCUACCCUUCUCUUUUAUCUUAUUUUUGGUUAGUUAGCAUUAAGGGCAAUCUAGCUUUCAUUCGAGGGGGUGGUCCUACUUUAAUGAUUGGUAGUUGGUCUGUAAUGAUGAUACUAUUUUCUUUCUUUAUGCUUAUUUUGCACUUUUUGUAUGUAUAUAACUUUACGAAUUAUUUCACUUUUCUUUAUUUUUUGGAUUUUGGUAUGUAUAUUAAGUUACUCUCUCAUGUAUAUAUUCAUCUAAAUCCCCUAUUGUACAUAUUUAGUUUACUUUCCACAUUUUACUUCACAAUUUGUUUUUUGCAACUUUCCUCAAUAGUAUAGCUUUUUAUUUCAUUUUGUAGCUUCAUUUUCGGUUCGUAGCUUCUUAUUAUACUAGUUUCUAUGAUUAAUUAAGCCUUUGGUUUUCUUAAUGCUUAAGUGACGAUGAAACCUUCUUAUAGACAUAUAUCCCACCCUGAACCAAAAGCCUUAACUACAUCCCCACAAAAUCCUUAUAUGAUCUUGAUUUGGCCGAACACCUUAGUGGUGACUCACAUAAGGGGAAGCUUAUGGUACUUCGAGCCGGUCUUGUGACCUUCCUUCGAGAGAGAGAGAGAUAAGUGUGUUUUCAUCAAUCCUCAUUUUGAGUGCCACAACCUAAAAGUGAGGUUUGCUUAAGGAUAGUUGAGGAGUAUGAGUUUGGGUUACACAAUGACCAAAGUGGUAGAAAGAGUUUCGUUGAUGAGUUUAGUCAGUUGUUGAUGCUUUUGUGUCACACUAAAAUCAUGGUGUUUAAUACGGCUGAGAGUUGUUAAUGAUGCAUUUCAGUUGAGGGUAAUUGUUAGUACCAAUUGAUGCUAGAUGAGUCCACUUUAGGACAUCUGAAUUUUCCUUUCUUUUAUCUUGAGGAGGUAGGAAUUACUUUAUUUGCUUGAGAAUAAGCAAAACCUUAAGUUUGGGGGAGUUGAUAACUACGAAUUCUAGUCUAGUUUAUGCUCCUUUUUUGCUUAGGUUUUGGAUUAAAAGUGUUUACAAUUAUUCCUAAAAGAUAACUUAUUGUGCUUGCAUGCAGUGUUUUGUAAAAAAGACACAAGAAAGUCAAAACUAGCUCAAAAAAGUAGUGAAACCUACACAAGUCAAAGUUGAUUCAACUGAGCGCUGAUAGCGGAAAAUCAAUCGCGGACGCGGAGGAUCCACCGCUGAGGCGGUCUUAUCUCACGGUAAUUAGUGGCAAGGUUUAAGGGAGUGUGUUUUGGUGCUUGCAAGUUACCACUGCCCGCGGUGCUUUUGUGCGGUAGUGGUGUCUGUACUGUGGCAGCGGUCCUUUUAUCCCGGUUAGCGGAGGAAAUAAAUAGAGAGCUCAUUCUGGAGCUCAAAGAGAAGAUCGUGAUCCGUGCUCAUAUUUUGUGUCCACGGUUGGAGAAGUGGUGCAGCGGUCAUCUUUCCGCUCCAACCGUUCCUAAGCUUAGAACCAUCUAAAAGUUAAAGAUCACGGUCCGCGCUUGAUUUUCUCUACUAGGGUAGUCUCAGCACUGCAGCGGUCCAUUUUCCGCUGUCAGCGAUACCUCGGUACGAGCAUUUUUUCCAAAAAAUUUAGCUGUGUAUAAAUAUUUUUUUUCCAUAUUUUUAGGUCUUCUGUUGUUCCGAUGAGCACGUGAACCGCCUCUUUUUAUCUUUUUGAGUAAUUUUAGAGCUUGUUCACAAUUAAUCUUAGACUCUUAUCUUGUAAUUACUUUGUAUGGCUUCUAUUUCAUCUCAAUCUAUGAUUUCUUCCUUCAUUAUGAGUAGCUAAACCCACUUGCUAGGAUUAUGGCUCAACCCUUGUAUGGUUAUUUAACGAGCCUUCUAUUUUAGGGCUUAAAUGUUUAUGGGUGAUUGUUAUUUGGUCUAAUUUAUGCUUUGAAUGUUUAAUUGGUGGUGACAAAUAUUGAUUUGUGCCUUUUUGACUUAGGCUUUUAUUGAGAAAGAGAGACCAAGUCUAGCAAAUUCAGGCCAAAAAUAAAUGGGGUGCAUUCAAGAGAUUGAUAGCCUCAAUUAAAGGGUUAAACCUAGAUAUAGUAAUAUCCUACUUGAACCAAUUUUGCUUGCAUUGUUUGAACACCCAAUUGGGCUUGAGAAAGCCAAUUAGGGCAAAGUAACUCACACUACCGAGAGGUAUAGAGUGAGUAGUUGCGUGCAAUAGCUAUAUCAUGAUCCCAACUAUAAGAAAUUGCCCUAAGUUUUAGAUUCCGUUAGAUACUCAUGUAGGAGUCAAUCACUUCCCUAGUUCCUUUUUAUCAGUUAAGAAAACCCCAUAGCAACAAUAUCAUACUUAGUUAAAUUUCCUGCAUCAUUAGUAUUAAAUUAGAGUAGUGAACAAACAAAUAAUGAUUGGAAGUGCUAUCAAGAACAUUGCACAUUGAUAGAUUAGAUAGGAAUCCAACUCCAAACAUAUCUUAGCUCCCUGUGGAUUUGAUCUCGACCUUUUCGGGUAAAAGUUGCAUCGACCGCUCUUGCCACUCUAUAGUGGUGUAAGUUGGAGCCGAUCACCGGCCUGGUUGGAUGUACUGAACUGAAAGGGGCUACUAAUAGGUCAUCAUCGACCCUUUCAAUUAAUAUCGAUUGUGCACAUCUGCCCAAGUCACAGCCAGAUACUCAACACAAUUUUAUUUCAACUAUCAUGAUGCUAUUGAACAUCGCUCGUUUAGACUAUGGCGGCAAGCUUGAAUGGAUCAAGCAACUCCAUUCAUUCCAAUUGAAAUCGGGAUACAAACUUCCUCAGAAUUUUGUUAUCCCUUUGUCUUAUCUUGAAAAAGUUUGAUUUUCUUGUUGUGACCUUUAUGGCCCCAGCGUGUGCCUUCAUGAAAGAAUUUUCUAGCAUGAUAGACGAAUCAAGUGAAUUUUGUGGUAGUUUGUGAUACCAAAUCACUCAUCCCUUUGAAAAACAUUUCCCAACAUUUUUCAACAAAAAAGUCUCUAUUUCAUCAUCAUCUAGGUCAUUUCCCUUUAUUUUGCAUGUGUACGAAGUGAUGUGUUCAUUAGGACCGGUGGUCCUACUGUAUUUAAGUAUAUCUAGCACACGAAACUUUUUAGGAAUGGGCUGAGGAAUGGGAUUCACAGCCGUACUCUAAGGAAAAGACUUCUGCGCGAACUUUUUCGAAUCCAAACCCUUUAGGAUCGGGGGUGCCCCUGGUAUCUCAUAUAACUCGGGAGUUGUACGUUCCACUUUUUUUAUCAUUAUCUUCGAUUUUAUUUUCUCCUGACUCAAUCCUUUUGGUGAGAUCUUCGAAAAUAUUAAUUAUUGCAUGAUCAUUCUCUGACUCGUUACCAUUUGACCUUUCUGGCACUAGCUCGGUAGGGCGAGUGAUUUCUGGCUCGAGCCACUUGGAGACCUAUGUUGAUUUUGCAAUUGAGCUAUUACAGCCUGCUGAGCCAGUAGCAUCUUGAAUAUAACUUUGACACUAGCUCCUCUGUAUCCUCUACGUUGUAUACCUUGACCACCAAAUUAGCCUUCCCCUUGCACACUCCCUUAGGAUUCCGUGCCUAGGUCCGCAUUGAGAGCAACACAUUAAUUGAUAUCGACUGGAUCGGCAACCGGUUGUCCUCCGAGAUUAGCCGGUGGCAUCCGUACUCCUGGAGCAAUUGCAUUGUUGUUUUCCCCCAUGAAAUCCUAGGCCAUCAUCACCAUGUACAUGUGUGUUUUGAGAGUUUGACAUGGUUUAACCUGAGAGAAAAAAAUACUUGACAAGAAUAAGUGUGAAAUAAUGUGUGUUAUCAGAAUCAGCACUGAAACAAUGACUAUUAUCCUUAGCCCCACGGUGUGCGCCAAACUGUUUACCUUAAAAUUUUGAGUUUUAAUUAAACUUAUGUUGUGGUUUUAAGGAUGUAUAAUUUAAUCCAAUACCAAUUGAUAAACAAUCCCAUUUAUAUAAUAGGAAGGUGUAGAUGAAAUAUAGAGACUGUAUUAUGAAGACCUUGCAAAAGUUUAGACAUAAUUAAUUAACCAUGCGAUUUCCCAACCAAAUGACCCCUUAUAGUGUUCUUAGUGCAAAACAAUAUUAGGAUCCAUUUUUUAGUUGCAGUAUUCGACUUCUAAUUUAUGAUUAAUGACGUUGGCUUUUAUAGAGUUAAGAUUUAGUUAAGGAAUUUUUGGAUUUACGGGGCUAAUAGUGGGGCGAGCCUCAAGCGUUGGGCAUGUAUUUUACAGGACAAAUGCCUUAUAUUUUUAAACUUCAUGUCCAAUAUGCCAUAAUUAUAUGUACAUACCAACUUUAUAUAUUCUUGCUUUGGGAGAAAAGAAAGAAACCUCCUCCCCCUACUAAUAGCAAAUAGUCAUUAUCCUUUACUUCAGCAAUUGGAUAACAGUCGUGGCAACCUUAUUUCUUUUUCAUUUUAAUAUUCUUUGUUUCUAUAAUUUUUAGUCACCAGAAAAAUGCUUGCCACUAAAUAGUGACCUAGUCUUUAUUUGGACUUUGCUAUCAUCUUAGUGGUUAACCAUGAUGCAGUUAUAUAAAUGUUAAGAAAGAUGUCUCGCUGCAAUAUAAAAACUAGAGUUCCACACUUAACUAUGCAAUACAAGUCUUAAUUAGUUCUAUCCUUCCAAUAUAGUUGCAAAAUGAGAAGUUUUGGGAAUUUAGGGCAAUGGCCUCUUCUUGCUGUUGCUUUGGCAAUUUGCUUUGUAGCCAACACUGUUUUUGCUGAUUACUCUUAUGGGUAUACUUCUCCCUCACCUUCUUACAUUUCUAAGAAGUAUUACAAAUCACCAUCUUCACCCAUUCAUUUUAAUAUUCUUUGUUUCUAUAAUUUUUAGUCACCAAAAAAAUGCUUGCCACUAAAUAGUGACCUAGUCUUUAUUUGGACUUUGCUAUCAUCUUAGUGGUUAACCAUGAUGCAGUUAUAUAAAUGUUAAGAAAGAUGUCUCGCUGCAAUAUAAAAACUAGAGUUCCACACUUAACUAUGCAAUACAAGUCUUAAUUAGUUCUAUCCUUCCAAUAUAGUUGCAAAAUGAGAAGUUUUGGGAAUUUAGGGCAAUGGCCUCUUCUUGCUGUUGCUUUGGCAAUUUGCUUUGUAGCCAACACUGUUUUUGCUGAUUACUCUUAUGGGUAUACUUCUCCCUCACCUUCUUACAUUUCUAAGAAGUAUUACAAAUCACCAUCUUCGCCCAAGUAUCAUGUACUAAUACCUCACUAUAAGUCACAUGCUCCUGCAAAGCAUUAUUAUAAGUCACCGGCUCCCGUAAAAUAUUCCAAUUCUCCAGUUUCCGUAAAAUACUACAAAUCGCCAGUUCCCGUAAAAUACUACAAAUCGCCAGCUCCCACAAAAUACUAUAAGUCGCCAGCUCCCGCAAAGAACUACCACAAAUCGCAAUCACCUGCAAAGUACUACAAAGCGCCAACUCCCACAAAAUACUACAAGGCGCCAGCUCCCACAAAAUACUAUAAGCCACCAGCUCCUGCAAAAUAUUACAAGUCGCCAGCUCCCGCUAAAUACUACAAGUCGCCAGUUCCCGCUAAAUACUACAAGUCACCCGCUUCUUCAAAGAACUACUACAAGUCACCAUCACCUACAAAGUAUUACAAGUCACCAUCCCAAAUAAAAUAUUACAAAUCGCCUGCUCCCUCUAAAUACUACAAGUCACCGCCGCCACCAAAAUAUUACAAGUCCCCAUUUUACUACAAGUCUCCACAACCAGCUUAUUAUGAAAAAUCACCUUCGUAUUACAAGUCACCUCCACCUCCUUCUAAAUACUAUGAGCAAUCACCUUAUUACAAGUCACCUCCACCCCCACCAAAAUACUAUGAGCAAUCAUCAUCUUCUUACAAAUCUUUACCUCCAUCAUACUAUAAAGAAUCUACACCUUCUUAUAAAUCUCCCCCGCCCCUACCAAAAUACUACGAGCAAUCACCAUUUUCUUACAAAUCUCCACCUCCACCAUACUAUAAAGAAUCUACACCUUCUUAUAAUUCUUAAAUACUACGAGCAAUCACCAUCUUCUUACAAAUCUCCACCUCCACCAUACUAUAAAGAAUCUACACCUUCCUAUAAUUCUCCUCCACCCCCAACAAAAUACUACGAGCAAUCACCUAUAAAUUACAACUUGCCAUCUAUACCAAAUACCUACUCACCUCCACCACCCGCAAACUAUUACAAGCAAAUUCCCACAUAUGCCUCAUCUCCACCACUUGAGAAGUACGAGCAAUCCGUCAUUUAUGCUUCCCCUCCACUCCCAUCAGCAUCUCCUCCACCAACCUACUAUUGAUAUUAAUUAUUCAGCCAGUUUCUUCCAUUUCCAUGACUUCUGAUUCCUUUUUGUCCUCUUAUUUUUAGCAACUCCAUUUCAUUUGCCAAAAUUUGAUGUAUGGUUCCUGAAAUGACCGGGUUUACUUAUUAUGUGUUCAAUGUUAUUUCGUUUAAUAAUUUGUAUUAUUUAUUGUUUUAUUUAAGUAAGAAUUUGCCAAAAUUUGAUGUAUGGUUCCUGGAAUGACCGGGUUUACUUAUUAUGUGUUCAAUGUUAUUUCGUUUAAUAAUUUGUAUUAUUUAUUGUUUUAUUUAAGUAAGAUCCUCGAGAUCUCCAUCAAUUGUUCUCAUUAUAUCGAGAUUCUUUGCAUUCUGCUUUCUUUGUUCUGUCGUAUUCUUUGUCUAAAUAAUGCAUGUUUUAAUCGACUGUAUUCUUUUAUCGUUCCAUAAGUAUAUCUUCUGAACAUUUAUUCAAACUUAAAUUAGUUGAAAUUCAGCAUAUGGUCUCUUGAGAACUUUUUCCCGAGAAUGGUUUAUAACCUACCUAUUCUAAAAUUUUAAGAAAUAUUGAUCUCUUGGGUUUCCAUAGAUAUUGGAGAAUGGUUUAUAACCUAUCUAUUCUAAAAUUUUAAGAAAUAUUGAUCUCUUGGGUUUCCAUAGAUAUUGCUUUUGUUUUCAACCCGUCUCGUCCCGCUUAAUUUUGUUUGCCUGCUCAUUUGGUGUAGCAUGAUCCUCUACUUUUUCAUUAAAAGCUAUCUAUAAAAGUUUUCUGUAGACUUAUAGUAAUGGAAAGAUUAGUGUAAGAAUAUGUGCAAUUUUUUCCUUAAUGGUCCUGCGGGUCAGUCCCGUGGCAAAAGAAAAUCAUACAUUUGAAUCCUAAUAAAUUACUUUGGUGAGACUUAUGCAAAUUGGUUAAUUACAAAUUAAAAUAGUAUUCAUGCUAGCGAAUAAGAAUGUGAAAUUGUUGUUGAAAUGAUUGCGUUAAUUACAAAUUAAAAUAGUAUUCAUGCUAGCGAAUACGAAUGUGAAAUUGUUGUUGAAAUGAUUGCUUUGUUUCAAAAAAGAUAAAAUCUAAAGUUAUCCCGCAUUAAACCCGCAACCUGCCCCCCCCCCCCCCCCCCCCAUCCCGCAACCUGCCCUCCCCCCCUCUCUUUAAAAAUUUUAAAAAUUAUUUUAACCUGCCUGCAUCUACCCCGCCCCCACCCGCAUAAGAGUAAACCCGCCUGCCCCGCAUCAAACAAAACUCGUCCUGCCCCAUCCCAUUGUCAUCCCUAAUCACGAAACAUCUUGUUACAAUAUUAUUUGAAGCUCUCUCUGGAUAAUAAGUAGGUCUCCCCGGAUAAGUUUAAAAAGUUUACUCGUCCCUAUUUUCUCCCAUCAGCAUAUGUAUUAGGUAACUCCGUCCACUAACACUUUAACAUAAAAAGAAGAGAUCAUCUAAUGUUCUAAUGACUACACUUGCGAUGUUCUCACUCCUGAUUUAUGAUCGAGAUAGAUGGCUUUUGAAAGAUUAAGGGUUUGUUAAGGUUUUUUCGAUAUAAUUACACUCAAUUGAAGAAAAUCAUUUAGACGAGCCUCGUGCGUUUGGCAUUGGAAGCAUUUUAAGUGUAUAUGCGGGCUCUUGAAGCACAAAUUUUACAAGACAAGACUCUCCCACAUCUGGCUCAAACCGUUUUACGAGUGCCAAGUCCAUCCAUAUGGUACGUGAAUACGGGUGGAUCUACGUAUACCAUGCCGAGUGCUGAACCACCCAUUGACCCCAGUGUUAACUGAAAAACAGAGUAAUUUCGUCCACAAAAAUUGAUCGAAAUCGGUCAGAUAUUGAUAAAAAUCGACCGAUUUUUUUUUUCUAAUUGAUCAAAAAAAUGAUGGUCACUAACGUGUAACGACUAAAAUCGGUCGAAAAUUUCAUACCGAAUUCGGUCGGAAAUUUCAAAGCGCUGACUAACUAUCGACCUUUAAUUUCCAACCGAAUUCGGUCCGUAACCAUUAAAUUUUUUUUAAUUUUAAAAUACCGACCGAAAUUGGUUCUGUCCUUCCAAUAUAGUUGCAAAAUGAGAAGCUUUGGGAAUUCCACACUUAACUAUGCAAUACAAGUCUUAAUUAGUUCUAUCCUUCCAAUAUAGUUGCAAAAUGAGAAGCUUUGGGAAUUUAGGGCAAUGGCCUCUUCUGGCUGUUGCUUUGGCAAUUUGCUUUGUAGCCAACACUGUUUUUGCUGAUUACUCUUAUGGGUAUAGUUCUCCCUCACCUUCUUACAUUUCUAAGAAGUAUUACAAAUCACCAUCUUCGCCCAAGUAUCAUGUACUAAUUCCUCACUAUAAGUCACAUGCUCCUGCAAAGCAUUAUUAUAAGUCACCGGCUCCCGUAAAAUAUUCCAAUUCUCCAGUUUCCGUAAAAUACUACAAAUCGCCAGUUCCCGUAAAAUACUACAAAUCGCCAGCUCCCACAAAAUACUAUAAGUCGCCAGCUCCCGCAAAGAACUACCACAAAUCGCAAUCACCUGCAAAGUACUACAAAGCGCCAACUCCCACAAAAUACUACAAGGGGCCAGCUCCCACAAAAUACUAUAAGCCACCAGCUCCUGCAAAAUACUACAAGUCGCCAGCUCCCGCUAAAUACUACAAGUCGCCAGUUCCCGCUAAAUACUACAAGUCACCCGCUCCUUCAAAGAACUACUACAAGUCACCAUCACCUACAAAGUAUUACAAGUCACCAUCCCAAAUAAAAUAUUACAAAUCGCCUGCUCCCUCUAAAUACUACAAGUCACCGCCGCCACCAAAAUAUUACAAGUCCCCAUUUUACUACAAGUCUCCACAACCAGCUUAUUAUGAAAAAUCACCUUCGUAUUACAAGUCACCUCCACCUCCUUCUAAAUACUAUGAGCAAUCACCUUAUUACAAGUCACCUCCACCCCCACCAAAAUACUAUGAGCAAUCAUCAUCUUCUUACAAAUCUUUACCUCCAUCAUACUAUAAAGAAUCUACACCUUCUUAUAAAUCUCCCCCGCCCCUACCAAAAUACUACGAGCAAUCACCAUUUUCUUACAAAUCUCCACCUCCACCAUACUAUAAAGAAUCUACACCUUCUUAUAAUUCUUAUACAAAUCUCCACCUCCACCAUACUAUAAAGAAUCUACACCUUCCUAUAAUUCUCCUCCACGCCCAACAAAAUACUACGAGCAAUCACCUAUAAAUUACAACUUGCCAUCUAUACCAAAUACCUACUCACCUCCACCACCCGCAAACUAUUACAAGCAAAUUCCCACAUAUGCCUCAUCUCCACCACUUGAGAAGUACGAGCAAUCCGUCAUUUAUGCUUCCCCUCCACUCCCAUCAGCAUCUCCUCCACCAACCUACUAUUGAUAUUAAUUAUUCAGCCAUUUUCUUCCAUUUCCAUGACUUCUGAUUCCUUUUUGUCCUCUUAUUUUUAGCAACUCUAUUUCGUCUGCCAAACUUUGAUGUAUGGUUCCCGAAAAUGGCUAGUAAGAUCCUCGAGAUCUCUAUCAAUUGUUCUCA
This 25855-nucleotide long non-coding RNA is filed under the name Nicotiana benthamiana. RNAcentral's name for it is "long non-coding RNA (NBEN_LNC018731)". Lineage: Eukaryota; Viridiplantae; Streptophyta; Magnoliopsida; Solanales; Solanaceae. The record is from RNAcentral.